CACGCCCUAAACGAUGUUUACUAGCUGAUGGGCAGAGAUGUUCAGUAGCGAAGCUAACGCGAGAAGUAAACCGCCUGGGGAGUACGGUCGCAAGAUUAAAACUUAAAGGAAUUGACGGGGACCCGCACAAGCGGUGGAUGAUGUGGAUUAAUUCGAUGAUACGCGAAGAACCUUACCUGCUCUUGACAUGCCAAGAAUUUUGCAGAGAUGCGAAAGUGCCUUCGGGAACUUGGACACAGGUGC
This 243-nucleotide ribosomal RNA is filed under the name uncultured bacterium. Its description in RNAcentral is "partial 16S ribosomal RNA". It matches the Rfam family "Bacterial small subunit ribosomal RNA", at positions 796 to 1041 of the family's 1533-position model. The record is from RNAcentral.